This 306-nucleotide ribosomal RNA is filed under the name Paenibacillus artemisiicola. RNAcentral's name for it is "partial 16S ribosomal RNA". It matches the Rfam family "Bacterial small subunit ribosomal RNA", at positions 1 to 303 of the family's 1533-position model. Lineage: Bacteria; Bacillati; Bacillota; Bacilli; Caryophanales; Paenibacillaceae. The record is from RNAcentral.
UUUAUGGAGAGUUUGAUCCUGGCUCAGGACGAACGCUGGCGGCGUGCCUAAUACAUGCAAGUCAAGCGGAUCUUCCCUUCGGGGAAGGUUAGCGGCGGACGGGUGAGUAACACGUAGGCAACCUGCCUGCAAGACCGGGAUAACAUUCGGAAACGAAUGCUAAUACCGGAUACGCAGUAUCCUCGCAUGGGGAGACUGGGAAAGACGGUGCAAGCUGUCACUUGCAGAUGGGCCUGCGGUGCAUUAGCUAGUUGGCGAGGUAACGGCUCACCAAGGCGACGAUGCAUAGCCGACCUGAGAGGGUGA